Molecule: ribosomal RNA, 498 nt
Filed under: uncultured bacterium
Lineage: Bacteria
Description: partial 16S ribosomal RNA
Rfam family: Bacterial small subunit ribosomal RNA
Source: RNAcentral
AUUGAACGCUGGCGGCAUGCCUUACACAUGCAAGUCGAACGGUAACAGGUCUUCGGAUGCUGACGAGUGGCGAACGGGUGAGUAAUACAUCGGAACGUGCCUAGUAGUGGGGGAUAACUACUCGAAAGAGUGGCUAAUACCGCAUGAGAUCUACGGAUGAAAGCAGGGGAUCGCAAGACCUUGUGCUACUAGAGCGGCCGAUGGCAGAUUAGGUAGUUGGUGGGAUAAAAGCGUACCAAGCCGACGAUCUGUAGCUGGUCUGAGAGGACGAUCAGCAACACUGGGACUGAGACACGGCCCAGACUCCUAAGGGAGGCAGCGGUGGGGAAUUUUGGACAAUGGGCGAAAGCCUGAUCCAGCAAUGCCGCGUGCAGGAUGAAGGCCUUCGGGUUGUAAACUGCUUUUGUACGGAACGAAAAGCCCCGGGUUAAUACCCUGGGGUCAUGACGGUACCGUAAGAAUAAGCACCGGCUAACUACGUGCCAGCAGCCGCCGUAA